GUCGAACGCUGGCGGCGUGCCUAAUACAUGCAAGUAGGACGCAGUUGCGAACGGGAGAGUAACGCGUAGGUAACUAGCUAUUAGAGGGGGCUAACUAUUGGAAACGAUAGCUAAUACCGCAUACUAGUAGAUGGACCUGCGUUGUAUUAGCUAGUAGGUAGGGUAAUGGACUACCUAGGCAAAGAUUCAUAGCCGACCUGGGUGGGUGGUCCGCCAACCCGGGAAUGGAGACCGGGCCAUGAUCCUGCCGGAGGGAGCCGUAGGGGAUCUUUGGACAUUGGGGGAACCCUUGACGAGCCAAGCCGCGUGAGUUGAGGAGGUUCUCGGAUUGUAAAGCUCUGUUGUUCAGGGAGCGGUACUUAACCAGAAAGCGACGGCUAACUACGUGCCAGCAGCCGCGGUAAUAC
Molecule: ribosomal RNA, 407 nt
Filed under: uncultured bacterium
Lineage: Bacteria
Description: partial 16S ribosomal RNA
Rfam family: Bacterial small subunit ribosomal RNA
Source: RNAcentral